This 217-nucleotide ribosomal RNA is filed under the name uncultured bacterium. RNAcentral's name for it is "partial 16S ribosomal RNA". It matches the Rfam family "Bacterial small subunit ribosomal RNA", at positions 524 to 740 of the family's 1533-position model. The record is from RNAcentral.
UACGUAGGGGGCGAGCGUUGUCCGGAGUUACUGGGCGUAAAGCGCACGCAGGCGGUCUGCUAAGUUUGGAGUGACAGUUGGUGGCUUAACUGCCAAAGUGCUUCGAAAACUGACAGACUUGAGGGCUUCAGGAGGACACGGAAUUCCGGGUGGAGUGGUGAAAUGCGUAGAGAUCGGAGGAACACCAAAGGCGAAGGCAGUGGUCCUGGGGAGGUAC